RNAcentral lists this ribosomal RNA (497 nucleotides) under uncultured bacterium. RNAcentral describes it as "partial 16S ribosomal RNA". It matches the Rfam family "Bacterial small subunit ribosomal RNA", at positions 28 to 507 of the family's 1533-position model. The record is from RNAcentral.
GAUGAACGCUGGCGGCGUGCCUAAUACAUGCAAGUCGAGCGAACGGACGAGAAGCUUGCUUCUCUGAUGUUAGCGGCGGACGGGUGAGUAACACGUGGAUAACCUACCUAUAAGACUGGGAUAACUUCGGGAAACCGGAGCUAAUCCCGGAUAAUCUUCUGAACCGCAUGGUUCAAAAGUGAAAGACGGUCUUUCUGGAAGUUCUCGAUGGUUCCGCGCUGCAUUGGCUAGUUGGUAAGGUACCGGCUUACCAAGGCAACGAUGCAUAGCCGACCUGAGGGGGUGAGCGGCCACACUGGAACUGAGACACGGUCCAGACUCCUACGGGAGGCAGCAGUAGGGAAUCUUCCGCAAUGGGCGAAAGCCUGACGGAGCAACGCCGCGUGAGUGAUGAAGGUCUUCGGAUCGUAAAACUCUGUUAUUAGGGAAGAACAUAUGUGUAAGUAACUGUGCGCAUCUUGACGGUACCUAAUCAGAGAGCCACGGCUAACUUCGUG